Odontomachus brunneus is the source of this 1050-nucleotide long non-coding RNA. RefSeq lists it as uncharacterized. Lineage: Eukaryota; Metazoa; Arthropoda; Insecta; Hymenoptera; Formicidae. The transcript has 4 exons. The record is from RefSeq and is a predicted model, not a curated record.
CAUGGCCAGCGGACAGGCCGGUCGCGGCGCGGCGGCACACGCAUUCGAAAAAUAUAUUCUCUGGAAAUCCCUGUCGACGAAGAUGUCGUUGGACAGCCGCCGGGACCACCUCGCCAGUAUUGGGGAUGCACAGGACUCGUACUCGUCAUAACCUCUGAGCGACUCGUCGCAACCUACGUUCCCGAGAGGCCGGGAAAUCUGCGAAGACGGACGCGACGUAUUUGUCGGCGAAUACAGCGGCUCCUCCAUCCACCGUUUCCACCUCUUGCUGCUACUGCUGUUCCUCCUCAUCGCUUCUUUCUCGCAACGUGCCUCUGUCGAGUACAUCCUUGCGCCCCUUGAAGCAAGGACCUCGUCGAGGGUGCCGGUCGCGGAGUAUACGACGGCGAAGAAACCGCCGUUUUCGCGUCGCGAGUGUUCUGGCAUCUUUCAACAACAGAAAAGACGAGAGAUGCUGGUUGUGUAUCCUGAGACUCCUUUCCUGAGAACAGCACCAGCAGCAACAACAACAGACUAGUUCAAGGUAAAGUGAAACAAAGCUCUGUUGAACGUAACGUCUCGGUGCAUCUCCCGUUAAAACGAAAUAUGAAAUAACUGUGACAUUUUCCACACGGUUAUCGGGAAAAUUUAAUUUGCUUAUAUACCACAUGUUGAAAUAAUUGUGUUUAAAGACUCGAACAUAUUUAUCUUAUAAAACACAUUGAUUUUGCAAUAUUCGCGUUUUAAAACUAGUGUGCGUAAAUAAAACUGGAGCGCACCGUGAUUUUUUUCCAUUAAACUUCUCAUUGUUUUUCGCGGUACUUUCUCAUCCAUUUUGCAAUCUGUUUAACUAUUAAUUUUACACUGAGAGAAAAAAUCUGAAAAAUAAAUGUUUAUUCGGUACCAAUAAUCUCUAUUUAUUUAAACUUGGUUUUCUCAUAGAAUAAAUUUAAAUAGAAUCAACAACUGCUUUCAGUGAAAAGUUAAAGUUUAGAGAAAAUGUAUUUUUAUCUGAGAAAUAUGUCAUAUUUUCACUUACAUAUUUCAUACACAAGUAAAUAUGUUGGUAGU